RNAcentral lists this long non-coding RNA (13688 nucleotides) under Gallus gallus (chicken). The record is from RNAcentral. Lineage: Eukaryota; Metazoa; Chordata; Aves; Galliformes; Phasianidae.
GAGGAGACGGCUCGGGCACUGAGCAUGUCCGAACGCGCUCGGCAGCGGCCGCCGCGCCGGGGCUGCGCUCGCGCGCCGCGCUCGCCGGGCGGGAAGGAAAGCGCGCGGCCGGGGGCCGUGUGAGGGGGGCGCGUGCCGCCGCCCGCAAGUCAACAGAAACAGCUUGUGCAGAGCAGUGAAUUUAUAAAUGUGAAUCAAGCUCUCCUUUGCAUCAUGUUUGGCACUAAGAGGUCAGUUCUCAUCUUUGUAAUGCUUUUAAUCUCCAAAACAAUGCUAUAGCUGAUGUGACUCUAUUCUCAAAAUUUGUCUGUUCUAUGUGAACCACUGUACAAAAUACAUGAGCUGGAUAUAUUAUUCUUUCUAUUACUUUGAUUGCUUUUGUACAGAUCUGGUAUACUUUAAUUGGCAGGUAUGUGGUAUAAAAGCCACGUGGCAGACAAGCAAGCAGUAUCCCCAUGUCAUUAUGGGUACUGGCAAGACUGCCAAAGAAAACACAGUGCUUGUGCUGGAGGAUAUACCUCCGGUUCCCAGAAGCAGAACACCAGGACCAAAAAAUACAGGUUUAAGAUACAUUAUUUUCUGUCAUUUUAGGGAAUCUAUGCUGAAUACAAGAUAACCCCCAUCUGUCAUUCUGCGUGAUACAGUGUCAUACCCCAAAUGUCUCAAAAAUCUGCAUUUCUUCAUAUGCGCUCUCUGAGUGCUCCUUUUAAGCCCCAGGUGGUGCAGGUCUGCUCCUGUAUCUGUGAGCAGACAGCAUGGCCUUGCUUCCAGCUGCUGCACAAACUGUUGUGCAGUGCCAUGCUGAGCCACCUUUCCAGGUAUCAGCUUUUGUACCUGUGGGUCUUUCAGAAGGGUGUCCAAUUUCUCCACAGAACAAAGAUACUGUGGGCCAUUCUUCCUCUGUGUGAACUCCAUGAUUUUUAAUCUUGUUAGAAGGCUUUUAGGUUUUUUAUAUAAGCUUAUUUGAAUCUCUGCUAGUGAAGUACUUCAACACUUUUUCCCCUCUAACGUGACAGUCUAGUGAAGCCUAUACCCUAUGCAGUGGCAGAGUACCAUUUACCUUAUACCUUCUACAGUUAUAGAAAGGGUAAGCUAUUUCUGUAAUAUGGUUAGAAAGAGGAGAGGCUGGCUUGCCUCUAAGAAGGAACGUGUAUGAAGCAGCAUAUUCUGUGCCUGCAGGAAUCAAGGGUGGCAAAUAAUAGCAAAGAGGAACUCGGUUUUCUGAACCCUCUGCUCCCACAGCAGCAUCAGUGUGUGCUGCAACCCUACUGGAGUUAGAGUAUUGCCAGGAGCUGCUGGGACCUCUCGUCCCUUAUGCUUCUGUUAGAUGUGGGCUCUGCUGUCCCACAAGGCAGCAAACUCAGCCUACUGCUUUGUGUCUGUUUGACUUCUGAUUCUGGACUCUAUUAACUUGAAUAUGAUAUCCCAAUAAAAUAUUUUUUUAGGGUAACCUCAGGAAAAGGAAGCUUGAUCUUGUUUUGGAGUAAAUACUGUGUAUAUUGCUUUGGCAGUGUGAUGCGUUUAAGAUAACUGUUGCUGAGGGUAUAUUAAUAGAACCAUAAACUUGCCAUUUGAGGAUUUCUACUUUAAAUUGAUUGGCGCUGCAGAGUAUUAAAACUGAAGUUAACCAAAGACUUUGUGCUAAGUGAAAUAGAUUAUAUUGUAGUUAUUUUUGCCACUGUUUAACACCAACCUGUAAGAACUUCUGGGCUGGUUUAAUUUUUUUUUCCUCUCAGGAUUGUCUCUAUUCUCAGCAUUAUACAUUAUUAUGGCAUUAUAUAUUUCACCGCAAUGGCAAAAGGAAGAAUUUGGUAGCCUUGAAAUUUAAUUAUUUUUUUUCUGGUUUGAAUCCUGGUUACUGUGGAAAUGAGAAUUCCUCUCAUGGAAUAACAUAGAAAAUGUAAGAUUACAUUUGAUGUCUUCAAAUAAGAGUUUUUUAUGAGGAAAGUUGCAUAUGGGGAACAGAAGUUCUCUGGGUGUCCACUAUUCUGUGUUCUGCCAUUUUUUGCUUUACACAGAUGGAGGUGAAAGAGGCAGAGCAGACUUGCUUAGAAGUAGACUUCUAUGUGCAAACUGGGAAAGUGCUUCCAGUAUUCUUGAGACUGGUAUCGUAUUUUUAUUAGGCAGUGAUCAAAUACUUGUCAAAAAUUUUGUUCUCGGUACUGCAGUACCGUUUGACUUGAUUUUUCCUAGAUGGCUGCUAAUUGCAAGUAGGAAAAUCUUGUGUUAUUCCUGAUAUAAAGUUUGUAAGCUCCUACAGAAAGGCUUCCCAUAAUUACUGAGAGUUUCUGGAAAUCUUGGUUUGAUAUGUUAAUGCUCUUCCUAAAAGGAAAGUGUAUUUCCUUGGAAAUGUCAUUAGAAACAAAGCAAUUUUUUCUGUGGGAAAAAAUGAUUGAAGAUUUAUUUUCUUCUGAAAAAUGUUGGAAUUAGUUCUAGCAGUACACUGCCAGUUACAAUUGCUGCAAAACAUUUUAACAAAGUCACAGCACUCUGACGCAAGGGCUGUAUUAUCUCUUGCCACCAGUCUGUUGAAAACUAUCAGGUAUAUGCUGGCUCAGGUCCUUUCUUAUUUUUACCUUUCUUAUAAUUUUACAUACUACUUUAUGUUUAGUUGAUGGUCCUUGUUGACCUGGUUGAAUAAUGAGGUUAAUAAAAGUAACUGUGUUAUCAGAGCAACUUUGACAAAAUUUAUAUGAUGAAGGUAUCUCUCAGCUGCUUCAUAAGAAGCUGUUGCAAAUGUGAACUGAUGCUGCUAACAAAAAGUUGAAUCCCUCUGGAUUUCAUUUUAAUUUGAGUGCUGAUCCCCAGCUUCUAAAUGCAGAACUGCUGUGUUUUUCCUGUGUGGUCUUAUAUUCUGCUCUCAUCUUUUUCUCUAUUGUGUGUGUUUUUUUUUCUUCCCAAUUAAUUAUAUCUACAGUAGACACCAGUGUGGAUAUAGCAGAGGUCAAUAAGUAAACCAGUGAGUUUCUGAUGCGAUGUAUUAUUCAUGUUGUGUACUCAGCUCAGUCUUGCAAGAGCAAUUGCUGAUACCACUGUCCUCCUGUGGAAAGGAAACAUAUGUAAGUGGUUCUAGGAAAGGGAUUUUUAUUUUGUAGGAAUAUGCUUUAUGUGUGGCAGAAUUGGAAUUUGCUCUGCAAAGAGGUAAUAAUCAGGCCCCACAUUAGCACAGCCUCGGGAUUUGCAGCAGACUCUAGCUGACUGCCUACUUAACUGGGUUUUCAGGGAUGUUCUAACCUAUGGUUAUAUAUAUUCUUCAGUUUUGAAGCUUUACAUUGUAAAAAUCAAUUAAAUUAUGUCCACGUCUGGAAAGUAUUUCUCCUCCAUGAUAUACUUGGAUCACUUUUCCUUCUCUAGCUUAGAUCAUCAUGCUUCAAAAGGUAGUUCGUGCUGAAAUGUUCCGUCUCAAAAUGAGUUUAGCUGACUGAAGGAAGCUCUUGUGAGAACAGGUGAGAAGUAUGAGAGCCUUUGCUUAAGCACUCUACAGUUCCAUUGCUGGAGCUGCAUCCAUUUUUCCUUUUUUUGAGGCACUUAUUAUAUGGUAUGUACAUUAAUUGAGUUUGUGGUAAAAGGUACUACCAUGGUACUGUGAAGUGCACAGGCUACCACUAAUAUCUCUGAUUAAUCAGAAUUUAGCUGGCAUAUCCAAGUCAGAUUGUCUCUUGCCAUAACUGGCAUCUCCUUCCUCCUGCACUGCUUUGAAGAACAAGAAAGGUUGUAGAGCGAAGAACAGAGAGGGAGCCCACGGAAUCAGUUGUCCGCUCUUAGGCUGUCGAGGGCUAGUGUUACCAGGUUUAAUUCAAGCUAUUUUGGAGGAAAAAUAGGGCAACUGAGGUGCUGAUGGCUAACACAGCUACUAGCUUCAGUUAUGUGCAGGUGUAAGGUUUGGUGCUUUGAAAUGGGCGGCUCAGUGCUGACAGGUUUGGCCUUUGGUCCUGGAGUUCCAUAACACAAAAGCUGAUCGUGGAAACAAAUAGUUUUCUUUCCAAAUCAUAUUCUAUUCAGACAUUCAGGAAGUCUUUUGAUUUGUCCUGGGUCAGGCUGUAUCAAAAGAAGUGUGGCUAGCAGGUUGAGGGAGGUGAUUCUAUCCUUCUGCUCUGCUCUUUUGAGAUCCCAUCUGGAGUACAGCUUUCAUCUUGGGGCCAUUUAGGACAAGAAAGACAUGGACCUGUUAGAGCAGGUCAGAGGGGGACCACAAAGAGGCUAGAGCACCUCGCCUGUGAGGAAAGACUGAGAGAACCAGGGUUGUUAAACUUGAGAAGAGAAAGCUCUGGGGAGGCCUUGUUGCAGUACAGAUGGAGAGGGACUGUUUAUCAGGGAGUUCAGUGAUAGGACAAGGAAGUCAGCUUUAAACUGUAAAGGAAGUAGGUUUAGGUUAGAUAUAAGGAAGAAAUUCUUUACUCGGAGGGCGGUGGGGCACUGUCAUGGGCUGCCUGGGGAAGCUGUGUGUGCUCCAUUCCUAGAGGUGUUCAAGGUCACGUUAGAUGGAGCCCUAGGAACCUGUCUAGUGAAAGGUGACCUUGCCCAUAGAAUGGGGCUGGAACUGAGUGAUCUUUAAGAUCCCUUUGAACCCCUAGCAUUCUGCGAUUAUGAUUCAAUGAAAACUAGUAAAUUUUCUUAGACUAAGUCUUUCAGCAGCAAUUUGAGUUCUGUGGUAAGUAGGAGGAAAACCCAAACUUUUUUCCACUGUCAACUUCUAUUGUUAUGAUUAGGAUAUAGAUGGUAACUGAGCUGGGAAAAUAACGUGAGAGGGAGGAUGGAGAGAUUUGGAAAGAGAUAUCAGUCUUUUAGUCACUGUCAGUUGCUGACUCCAUAUUCUUCUAUGUGGUUUUCUGGUUAGAAAGUCCAGGAAUUUGUGUUUAAUAGCUCUUGAUGUGAUAAGAGUGUACUCUUUUCAAGAUAAUAAAAAUUAAUUUCUUCUUUUUCCUUGGCUAAUUAUUCUGUCCUGUUCAAAGAUGACCUCAAGCACGUCUAUGUUUACAUGUGAUUUCUAAAUUUCUGUUCUUAUUUAUUUAUUUUUAAUCAGCAUUAGCCCUUGACCAUUCCUGUGUUAGUUCUGAUACCUCUGCCAACUUCCACACCAUGGCCAGUAGAUGGCCAGUAAAUGUUCACUACUAGACAGAGUGUGAGUCAAAGAGUAUGUGUUAAACACUAUCCUUUUCUAUGGGUUUUUCAAGUGUACAGAAAUAAUAAUCUGAUUUGGCCUAAGUUCACAUGAUGCUCACUAUGCCCUUUCUUUUUAAGUGGAAGGGAUUGUACGUGGAUAAAGCUGUAACGUGCUUUGUCUCUUCUGCUCUAUUAUGGAAUUAACUUUGUUACUGCCAAAAUUUGUUAUGGUAGUAGAUUGCAAAAUAAUGUCUAUUGACAUGGACUCUCUUUAAGUUUAUUACUGUUUCCCAAAUACGAAUGUCCAAUGUUUUCCACUGUUUUAUUGCUUUGAAACCUAGAGGCUCAAUAGUUCAAAAUGAUAAGGCAGCUGUGAGACUUGGUUUCUAAUUUAACUGGAGCAGACACAGUGUAGUAUACAAAUGUAUGCAGGGCAACAGAAUAUGAGACAUCCUAUAUUGACUUUGUUUUCAAGUUUUUUUUCUUUUGUAUAUCUUACCAUCACAUCCAUUCUGUGCUGUGUUUAAUGAAAGCUCAGAUUUAUUAAUAAAUCACGUAAGAUUUUGGAUGGGGCAGCUCAAGACUUCAGUGCAUAUAUUAUCUCUCUGCUGCAGAAUUAGUCCUUCCAACACAGAGCAUGGCUGUCUCUUCUGUUAGCCCACAGCUUGGCAGCAUUUAUUUUACCUGGGAGUAAACAAGACGGAGCAGAAAUGGAACUGAGCACAUCGAUCCAAUUAUAAAUGAUUGCUUGCUCACAUCAGGUAGCAGCAGGGGAAGACUUUUCUUCUUCACCUUCACUGUUCACACUAAUGCACUGCCAUCUGAUUCCAGAUUUAAGGGGCUGAACUGCAUUUCCGGAAAACUUUGUAUGGUUGUAAUUCCAGAACUUAACUAUAAACAGAUUUAUCUUUCAAAUCUUUCAUCUGCUUAGUUUUCCUAUUUCAAAUGGAUUUAUUAUUUGCCAUGCACUCCUUUUUCUGAUCCCUUUGUAGCCAGUUCCCUGUUUUCUGUCUCUACCUUAUCUGAGCUUCUGCUUUGCGUCCUCUGCCUCUUACAUUUAGUUCACACACAGGGACUGAUUUCACUAGAAUUCUUAAACUCCUUGUGACUGAGUCCAUCCAGGACUUGGGCCCCUGUAAUGUAGUAUGUGCCUUAAACAUGCGCUUCUUGGAAACUUGUCUUUUGUUAGCUUCCUUGACUCUCAUUUCUCUGAACAGAGUUUUGAUUUUUCUUACUCCUCUGAUAAUCAUGAAAUGAAAUCCCAAAGUAGCUAUGUUUAACUAAUGAAGUAUAAAUAUAACAAAAAUUGCAUGGUAGACUGAGCUCAGCCUGCAGCCAAACACCCACUCACUUUGCUUUCCCAUUGUGAGGGGAGAAAAGGAAGGCCAGAGGAAUCAAGGACUAACAUAAAGAUGGCUGCAGGUCUAGUGAAAGUGAGGACAAGUGAAAGAAAAGAAGGAAUUCAUUCUCUUCUUCCCACUGGCAGACUGGUGUUUGCCACUUUCUGAAAAGCAUGGCCUCAGCAUGCUUUAGAAGACAGAUGUCAUCAACACGAGUGUCACCCCUUCGUGCUCCUUUCCAUCAGCUUUUUUUUGCUGAGCGCCACGUCAUACGGAUAUGCAGUGUCCCAUGGAAUAUCCCCUUGGUCACUUUGGGACAAGUGUCUUGGCCAUUUGCUGGGGACGGCAGAGUGGGACAAGAAAGCCUGGACACUAUGCAAGCACAGUUCAGCAAUAGCCAAAGUGUUGAUAACCCAACUUUUUGUUAAUGGGUUAUCAACACUUUUUUAAUCACAAAUCAAAACACGGAACAGGAUGGGCUGCUGUGAAGAAAACUAACUUCAUCCCAUCCAGACCCAGUACAAGGUAAAAACCCCAGUCAGUGUUCAUACCCUGUAACUUAAACUACAAUAAAAUGGCUGCGUAUGUAACAACGUGUAGAAAAUACAUCAGUUCAAAGCUUUGCCUUUCUAUAUUUAUGAAUAAAAUAACAACAACAAAAAAAGCUAUUUUGAGCAGCUUUAAAAACAUUCCUGUGUCCUUAAUUAUAAAACGUCUGUGAAUGCAGGGACAUGAUCUGUGUUUUUACAAAUGAAAAUACAAAAGAAGUCUUUUUAAAUUAAUCUUGAGUUGUUAACAUUUUCUCAGGGAAGUUUUAACAGAAGCCUGUCUUACCAUAGGACUCUGCUGAGCCAUGUCUGGAGCCUUUCAAAGGCAUUUACAUGAUUUAGCCAACCAAUCUCCCAUGUAUCUUUUUGUCAAAGUAAAUCAUCUUCCUUUCUACAUCAACUUUAUUCAGUAGCUGUAGUACUGAGAAUUAUUUAAUUCUUCUGUUGAAUCUCUUUGAUGUAUAUUGGAGGUUUUGUGAGAGUGUCUGAUUAUUGCCUGCUGAUUCCAUAAUUGUAGGAUUACGUUUGAACUGCAGUUAUAACAUUAAUAUUACAAGUUUCUUCUUCAAAAGUGGCUGACACUUGAAAUUGGAAAUGAACCUAAAAUCUCAGUAACUCUUUGCUUUUUUUUCAAUUUGAAUACUAACAUGAUUAUUUACUUCUCAAGCCAUUAAUUUCCAUUGAUUUUUGAUUAAUUUCCAUUAUUUUUUUUAUGAAGGCUGCAGAAUCCUUUCUUGCUGUGAUUCUGUAUUUGUUACGCUUUAGAAGAUUUAGGAGGCAAAAAGAUUCUGAGCAAGACUUAAGACUCGUUGUGUAUAUGGCUGGGCACUUCAGUGUACAGAGAUGAGUUUCCCAUUGUACCUCUGUUCAUUAUAACUCUGCCAAAGAGCCAAACCUCUGCAUUGCUGCAGUCAGAAUGGAAUCCUGUUGUUCCUCUAGAAGUCAGGACUUCACCUGAAUUUUCUAAAAAAAGCUUUGCCAAGAGCACGUGUGUAGAACUAACUCUGAGAUAAUCUGUACAUGAAACAACCACAGUGAAAGAGGUACUCGUGCCGCAGUUCAGCCACUUCUUGCACAGGAAAGCAAGAAAAUAUUUCUCACGUACAGAUGGAUUUUUUUCUCAUGCUCAGAUUUUGUGCUGAAGUUUGGCCUCAGAGCCUUGCAGAUAUCUCCACUUGUUGUUCUCUUCCCAGUCUUAGUAGAACUGAUCCUGGCUGUAAAAAUAACUUUGUAGGAUUUUGCUUAUUUUCAAGAAAAGAAAUCUGUAGUGUAGAGGAUUAUCAGUACAUGUAAAAGCUAGUCUUAAUUUAAAACUGCUCUAGUUUAAUUGUGAAAGGUACCUGUAUGAAAAUCAGCACCUAAGAGAGGGAAGGGCCAUCAUCUAGCCCUGUUUUUCCUGUAGGAUCACGUUGGUGAUCAAAAAUACACUUUCUCUCUCCUGUUGUUUGCCAGAUAUCUUCCUGAAGCCUUCCAUUAGUCUUUCAAAGCAGAGCUGGUACCACAGAAUGAGAGCUAUUGUCAUGUCUUAGGGACUUUCAAAAAUGCUUCUGGCAAUUACACGAUGUUUUAGUUGUUUCUCUUUUUUUCAGAUACUUUUUAAAAUUCCUAAAUCAUAGUGCUGUAUGACAGGCUUUUGCUUUUCUCAUUGUAUCUUUAUUUGCUAACAAAAAUCCAGACGUCCUGAUAAAAACCAAACUCAUUUCAUAACGUGAUACAUCUGUGCCCUGCUCGUACAUAUAAAGCCUCAGGGUUACAUUUUCAAAGUGGCGAAUAGUAGAUAUCCUCACAAAUCCUUUUGUCUGCUAAUGGGAUUUGUUCUUGCUGCUCCCUGACACCUUUUUAAAUGAUCGUAUUACUGAUUUAUUUUAUUAUAGUGUUCUGGAAGACACUUAGUAAAGUGUGUUCUGACCUUGCAUUUGGCAAUGUGGACAGGUCAGUGGGACCAGAACUAGCUAAAGGCUGUGUCUGCGCUGUAUUGCUGCAGAUAGUGGUCAUAAAUUGCUUGUUUUGCUGACAUUUUAACGUAAAUGAAGGAAGGCGUCAGCACUGCUGGCUUUCUGGAAGGAAGCCUGAGAGCAUCUUGGUAUGCCUUGCGUGUCUAGCUAAUGCCACUUGGAUGGAAAGUUUUAAUUAAGUGCAUGUCUGUGCAUGCAAAGAAGAAAUCAAAGGCACUAGGGAAAAAGAAAGUGUAUCUGCUCAAGACUCAUUGAGGAGUAAUUUGGUGAGAGCACUAAAUGACUUUCAAUUAAUUGGAAAAUAUUUUCUUAAAUAUUGCCAGAAAGUACAAGAAAAUCAACCUGAAGAGAAGGCUACAAAAGUAGUCUGUGUUUAAAAUCCAUUUGCUCCUUUCUUGUUGGAAGAUGUCAUGGUAAUACAAGUCAGGAGUAGAGGUUGUGAAACUAAUCUGAUAUGCUGGAUUUCAUUAAGAUCCAUAAUUGCAAUUAUCAGAGGAACACUGGAAGCUGGUUUAUGUAAGGUCAUUAUUUUUCAUUUGUCAUUUCUGUAACAAUUUCCAAGCUUAAAAUAUCCAAAAAAUCAUUGUUAAUAGAGAUACAAUUUUUAUAGCAAAUAUAAUUAACAAUAUUAAAGUUCCAGCUGUUGAAUUUGAACUGAUUAUGUGGGAAUUUUGGCUCUGUUUUCUGGUCCUCAUGCCUAGAGGGCAGAAAAUUCACUCAGUUCCCUUCUGACUGUCUAGAGGGACAGCUUCUUCUGAAAGGAGCAGUGCUGAAGAGCAAGGAUUAUGCAUUCACUGAUAGAUGAUGCUGCAUGAUUAAUUUUGGAUAAUGCUUGGUAUGUGGCUCCUUGUUCUGCCUGCAUUAUAGCAAAACAAACCAGCCAACCCUGUACUCGCUGAGAUGGCCAGACAUGUAGAGGGCUUGUUAUGUCAUACUGUAUUGCCUUAUUCACAAUUUUAUUUUAAUGAACUCAUAAUACAGCAUGAAUUCCACCCUUUUAUGUAGAAAAUAUGCUUUAUUAUUCACUUUGGUUUUCUUGCAGAGGAAGCAGAGAAAACUGCAGCAAACUCCGUGAGGGGUCAGGAAUGACUGUGCAUCUGUAGCUCUUCUCCUUAUUUGAUACCCAUCAUUAAUGUAACUCAAAGAUGCUCUCUGCAGUAAAUAAUAACAAGGAAAGAACAGCACCCAUGACUUAAGCCUUAUCAAAGUGUGUGAUGGUGAUUGGGUAGCUCCUUCUAUUCAUCUUUCUUUAAAUACAUGUCCUCUUGUGAAAUGCUUUGUUGGAUAGAACCUUUCCCACCCCCAAAGCCACAUUUUGUUUGUUUGUGUCUUAACAAUGAUAAAGAGACAGAAUUAUGGGUAUGAUUACCUAAUAUCUUACUCUGUUCUUGCUGAUGUUUAUGACAAAGUGAAUCAGAAAAUGGGAAUAGAUAAGGCUGUAUUCUUAGCUUGAAUUAUCAGGUGCCAUUUCAAAUGUCUACAGCAGAUGGGGAGUCUCAGGAGAAGGGGAGAAAUAAAUGCAACAGGUGCAUCACAAGAGCAAAAGAGCUAUUUGUGAGAAUAGUUCCAAGAAUUGAAGAUUCCAUCAAAAGGUUAUUUACCUUUGGGUGGAGAAUUACAUUUUACCUAACUUUUUCUUAUCUCAGAGAUGAGAAGUGGUUUGGCAUUUAUUAUCAGGAACUGGUUAGAAUGGUCUUCUCUCACUGGGUAUUACAGAGCAAUGCCUCUACUGGUCAGGACGAAGAAAGGCAGAGGAAGGAAUCAAUAUGGACAGUGUGUAGGAAGGGACGUGAGGGAAAGGUUGAGAACCCCAAAACUAAACUAUCUCACAGUAUUCCAAUAAAAUUAAUGAAAGCUGUAGUCGUAAGAUCUCUGCUGUUGUCUUAAAAUCUUUCUUUGGUGGUGGAGCAGUGGUUCAGUGUUGAGGAACAAGAAAUGUUUCCAUUCUACUUCCCACUGCAUUCACCAUGUUUGCCUGCAGUUCCUUGGGCAUCACAUAGGCAGGCUAUAGAGUCUGUUGCACCAGGCUGUGAUUGCUAAAAACUUCAGGAAACAUAAGAAAAAAACCAAAUUCCUGGGGUCUGCCCUACUCUUAGUCUGUAUUGAUUUCUCCCUUGGGCAAUGUCCCAGAAGAUGCCGGGCCAGGCUGACCCUUGAUCUGAUCCAAUAUGGAUGAUCCUGUGUGUUAAGAGGAUACUGGACUGCAGAUAAGGGGUAAGCCUGAUUAUGGAGGGGAGGCUCUGUAUGAGAUGAGGAUAAAGCAGUGCAGCGUCCCCGGCACGAUCUGCCCAGGCUGCUGGUGGUGCAGAGAUGCUAACAGCAGGACAGGCUGGUGCCCUGUGCUGACUGCUUCUUCCUGAAAACUCAGCACAGCAUUCCUUUUAAGGAUGUCCAGUUGUUGGGAACUCAGUAUUCUCCGAAGAGCUAAAGGAAUUCAUGUUUGUGACAUUUGAUGAUUGGGCAUCUGGGAGGCUUUGAUGUGUGUUAGAACAUGUAUUUAGCUUCACUCGUUCAGCCAACAGUCCUACUGCAAUAAGGGUUCACAUCUUAUUAAAGGUGUGUGAAGGGUUUGACAAAACCUCUGAAGGCCACAAUAGUUCUUUCUCCAGGAGAAGCCAAAAAGGAAGAAUUUGAAGUUUGAUACUUCUGAACUUAGGAAUGGAGAUGAAGCAAAGUAAAUUAAGAAAAAAUAACAAAACAAAAGCUCCAAACUCCAAAGGCUGUUCCUUCAUCAGCUGUGGGUCCUUCUUGUCUUUUACAGAUGUUGGUUUCUAUAUAAAUAAACAGUUUGCUCUUUAAAAAUAAUUGGUGAUGACUCAAUAGCUCACAUUUAUUAUUGUGUAUUUUAAAUCUGCAGACUUCAGCAAGUCCAAUUCUGUGCUAUUUGGGAAAAAAUAAAGGCUUUAAUCAUAUUCGGGCCUGUUUUCCCUUUCAUCUGGUGGUUAGUUUGCUUUUACAGAUGAAUGCAACUUUCUGAGCUGUGUGUUCUGGUUUUGAACCUGCUCGCUGACUUACCUAACUUUCCUUACACAGGGAUUGUGAUUUUCAUUUUACCUUAACUGGCACUUGGCAGAUAAAGUGGCAGAUUUAUAGACAAUUCUACUUAGUUUAUUAUAUACCAAUUAGCAUUUAUAGUACUCUGUCCUUAAAAUUAAGUGCUUCGCUUCUAUAUAAAAUGGGAAAUAAGUGAGGUCACACAGCAAUGCAGAGGUAUUUUUUUGUUGUUGUUACACAGUAAUUUCCCCAGGCAGAUACUGAGUUAAAGGCCUUGACGCUGCUGUUGCUUGGGCAGUUGUGCUUUGCCUGUUGCUUGUUGCCACAAGGCUGUGGUACGGCUUUGCUCCUCAUUUUAGUUAAUGAGGAAGAAAGGUGGCGGAGCAUGUGUCUGUGUGUGCGUAGACUGCAUGGCAUGAGACUCGUGGGCCCUCCACUCUGGGGAGGAGCUGAAGUAUUGGAUACUGUGGUAUCCAGGCAGUAUUUCCUAUCCAAGGAGAAUGUGACUUUUACAAGUGGAGCAAAAUUUGGCUUCAGGACAGAAGUAUCUACGAAUAAAUACUAUUUAUAGGGUUUUUUUUGUUUUGUUUUUUUUUUCAGUCAUUCACAGGUGUUAUGCAAAGCAGUAACAACACAAAGGAUAACUUGUUGCCCCGUACUGUGAUAGUGUCUGUCCAUAGAAGAUGUGUAUGGGUGCAUGCAAAAAACAUUUUUUUACCCGCGCUAUCCUAAACAUAUCUAUGUCAACGGAAACAACUGUGUGUUAUUUUUCACUUUCCUGGCGUCCUUGUUUCCUUACACCAGAGCUGCUUUUUGAGCCCUCCUCCUCUGCAGUGUGGCUUAUUCAGGAUCCCUGCUCUGAGUACAGAGCUGCUGCAAGCAUCACCUUUAAUAUGGGCGGUGUUGCAUUGCCUGAAUCGAUUCCUGGUUCAUAAUGCUGACAUUUAACUGACUUCAGAGGUAACCGCCAACGUCUUUUGCAGAGUUAGUCCAGCUUUCAUGUUUUAAUAACUGUGAACAGCAUAGAGCCCCAGGUAGGUUCCUUUCAAGGUAAAUUCAUUAGGGCAAAAAAGAUCAUUAGCUGCCAGUGAUGGAUUGUUUCUCAGUAAGAUAAACACAAAUUGAAACAUGCUUUGAAGGCCACUGUAGGCUUGUUGUGAUGACAAGGGGAACACGUAUCCUGCUUAUCCAUUAUAUAUGUUUUAAAAAGGGUCUUUGAAGACCAAAAAGUGCUGGAAAUACACUGUCCUGUCCACUAAUGAGCAGUGCAGUUAAUGAGAUAUCUCAGAACUCCCUCCCUGUCCACCUACUUGCAGCAUACUUAUCUGAACUUCAUCUGAUUCUUUUCCAAGUGACAUGUGGGUUUAGCCUCAGGAUAGAGAUACUGGAAGCAGUUCCCAUCCACUUUGGUUGUUCAGGCACUCGUGCUGAGUGACAAGCACUAAUGAAAUUUGGGUCCCUAUUAUGCUUUAUGAUGAGCACAUCAUGAGAUGAUCUCUGCCGUGGUAUUUUCUACUUCAGUCUGUAGGAUGAGAGAAGCUUGAUGAUAUCCUUUAAUUUGUUGGAGAAAUUUUGUAUGAAGGAAAAAAUGCUGUGUGGCACUAUCCUCUCAUGUACGAAAGAAUGCUAGAAGCUUGGCUUGUCCAUAAAAUCUGCUUUCCUGAAAUCCCUUUGGGGGACUUGACAGGAUUUGGGGAUUGCUGCCUUGAGAUCCUCUGGUAAGGGUUGUGCUCACAGGUGCAGUUCUG